AGGGCACCACCAGGAGUGGAGCCUGCGGCUUAAUUUGACUCAACACGGGAAAACUCACCCGGCCCGGACACCGUAAGGAUUGACAGACUGAGAGCUCUUUCUUAAUUCGGUGGGUGGUGGUGCAUGGCCGUUCUUAGUUGGUGGAGCGAUUUGUCUGGUUAAUUCCGAUAACGAACGAGACUCUGGCCUAUUAAAUAGGCGAUACAUAGAAAAGUGUAUCGAACUUCUUAGAGGGACAAGCGGCGUCUAGCCGCAUGAAAUAGAGCAAUAACAGGUCUGUGGUGCCCUUAGAUGUCCGGGGCUGCACGCGCGCUACACUGAAAGAGUCAGCGUGCGUUUUACCUAGUUCGGAAGAACCGGGUAACCCAAGUAAAUUCUUUCGUGCUUGGGAUAGAGAAUUGCAAUUAUUUCUCUUAAACGAGGAAUUCCCAGUAAAUGCGGGUCAUAAGCUCGCGUUGAUUACGUCCCUGCCCUUUGUACACACCGCCCGUCGCUACUACCGAUUGGAUGACUUAGUGA
RNAcentral lists this ribosomal RNA (519 nucleotides) under uncultured eukaryote. RNAcentral describes it as "SSU rRNA". It matches the Rfam family "Eukaryotic small subunit ribosomal RNA", at positions 1161 to 1704 of the family's 1831-position model. The record is from RNAcentral.